GGAGGUUCGUCCGCUGGAGGAGUCUUGAUGACACUGUGGAAGGUCGAACGUUGGAGGAGUCCGGGAUUCAAUUCUGUUGUAGAAGUUCAGACGGAGUCCGACUCUUGUAGGAGUCUGAAAGGAGGCCGCUUAUUGUAGAAGCUCGGUCAAAGACCGAUUGUCAUGGAAACUCGGAUGGAGAUUUCUUAUUAUAGAAGCUCGGAGUAGAGACCCGACUGGUGGAG
RNAcentral lists this long non-coding RNA (224 nucleotides) under Elaeis guineensis (African oil palm). RNAcentral describes it as "long non-coding RNA (EGUI_LNC069012)". Lineage: Eukaryota; Viridiplantae; Streptophyta; Magnoliopsida; Arecales; Arecaceae. The record is from RNAcentral.